GUCCUAUAAAAAUGUAGUUCCAAAUCUAUGCAUGUCCACCUCUAAAAUAUUUGUAAUAUAAGUUUUCAUCUAAAUUCUAAUUAAAAGUGUCAAAUAUAUAUAACAUAAGUCAAGAUUUAUUUUGUUAAUACAUCAACUAGAGACUAGCAACUGUUAAGCAUGUAAUCAAAAUGAGUGGCAUCCAUUUAUCAUCUAAUGA
This 199-nucleotide long non-coding RNA is filed under the name Elaeis guineensis (African oil palm). RNAcentral describes it as "long non-coding RNA (EGUI_LNC033987)". Lineage: Eukaryota; Viridiplantae; Streptophyta; Magnoliopsida; Arecales; Arecaceae. The record is from RNAcentral.